Molecule: non-coding RNA, 68 nt
Organism: Trichonephila inaurata madagascariensis
Lineage: Eukaryota; Metazoa; Arthropoda; Arachnida; Araneae; Nephilidae
Source: the annotation of a GenBank genome assembly
GCCAGUAUGGUGGUUAGGACUCUCGGCUUAUAACCGAGUGGGUUCGGGCUCAAAUUCCGAGAAGGGCA